RNAcentral lists this transfer RNA (73 nucleotides) under Ktedonobacter sp. Its description in RNAcentral is "tRNA-Trp". It matches the Rfam family "tRNA". Rfam says of the family: Transfer RNA (tRNA) molecules are approximately 80 nucleotides in length. Their secondary structure includes four short double-helical elements and three loops (D, anti-codon, and T loops). Lineage: Bacteria; Bacillati; Chloroflexota; Ktedonobacteria; Ktedonobacterales; Ktedonobacteraceae. RNAcentral also lists the same sequence under 1 other name. The record is from RNAcentral.
AGGGGAGUAGCUCAAUUGGCAGAGCAACCGUCUCCAAAAUGGUAGGUUGCAGGUUCAAGUCCUGUCUCCCCUG